GGGGGUGUAGCUCAGUGGUAGAGCACGUGCUUGGCGUGCACAAGGUCCUGGGUUCAAUCCCCAGUGCCUCCU
Molecule: transfer RNA, 72 nt
Filed under: Camelus bactrianus (Bactrian camel)
Lineage: Eukaryota; Metazoa; Chordata; Mammalia; Artiodactyla; Camelidae
Also listed under: 2 other names
Rfam family: tRNA
About the family: Transfer RNA (tRNA) molecules are approximately 80 nucleotides in length. Their secondary structure includes four short double-helical elements and three loops (D, anti-codon, and T loops).
Source: Rfam by way of RNAcentral